UAACAAUUGGUAUCAGAAGAAGACGAUCGCAAUUGCCUCGGUAGCAUAGAUGUUGUCGAAGAUGAAGAAGAUGGGUGAUAAGCGAGAUAUAGUGAAGAAUGAUUCGUCCACUACUAGGUCAUGUUGGAGAAAAAACAGAAGAAAGAAGAAAGAAAAACCACCGUCCAUUGGUGAUUGGACGGUUCAUGUCAUUGUGUGAAAAUGAUUUAGGGGGCG
Molecule: long non-coding RNA, 216 nt
Filed under: Setaria italica (foxtail millet)
Lineage: Eukaryota; Viridiplantae; Streptophyta; Magnoliopsida; Poales; Poaceae
Description: long non-coding RNA (SITA_LNC004098)
Source: RNAcentral